Small nucleolar RNA from Cottoperca gobio, 89 nucleotides. The record is from Ensembl. Lineage: Eukaryota; Metazoa; Chordata; Actinopteri; Perciformes; Bovichtidae.
CAUGUGGUUAAUGAUGCAUACUUUUUUCCCCGUCUUAUCGACCAUGGUGAGAGAACUGACAACUAAGCCAGUUUGUCUGAAACCACAUG